AGGACGAACGCUGGCGGCACGCCUAACACAUGCAAGUCGAACGGAGAAUUGAGAGCUUGCUCUUGAUUCUAGUGGCGGACGGGUGAGUAACACGUGAGCAACCUGCCUCUGAGAGAGGGAUAGCUUCUGGAAACGGAUGGUAAUACCUCAUAACAUAGUGAAGCCGCAUGACUUUACUAUCAAAGAUUUAUCACUCAGAGAUGGGCUCGCGUCUGAUUAGGUAGUUGGUGAGGUAACGGCUCACCAAGCCGACGAUCAGUAGCCGGACUGAGAGGUUGAACGGCCACAUUGGGACUGAGACACGGCCCAGACUCCUACGGGAGGCAGCAGUGAGGGAUAUUGCACAAUGGAGGAAACUCUGAAUGCAGCGAUGCCGCGUGGAGGAAGAAGGUUUUCGGAUUGUAAACUCCUGUUUCGAGGGACGAUAAUGACGGUACCUCGGGAGGAAGCUCCGGCUAACUACGUGCCAGCCGCUGC
This 477-nucleotide ribosomal RNA is filed under the name uncultured bacterium. RNAcentral describes it as "bacterial SSU rRNA". It matches the Rfam family "Bacterial small subunit ribosomal RNA", at positions 26 to 518 of the family's 1533-position model. The record is from RNAcentral.